This 378-nucleotide ribosomal RNA is filed under the name uncultured Sphingobacteriales bacterium. Its description in RNAcentral is "bacterial SSU rRNA". It matches the Rfam family "Bacterial small subunit ribosomal RNA", at positions 1003 to 1382 of the family's 1533-position model. Lineage: Bacteria; Pseudomonadati; Bacteroidota; Sphingobacteriia; Sphingobacteriales. The record is from RNAcentral.
GUAAAGCUUACAUCUCUUCGGAGCAUUUUACGAGGUGCUGCAUGGUUGUCGUCAGCUCGUGCCGUGAGGUGUCGGGUUAAGUCCCAUAACGAGCGCAACCCCUACCUUUAGUUGCCAUCAGGUUAAGCUGGGGACUCUAAAGGACUGCCUACGCAAGUAGUGAGGAAGGCGGGGAUGACGUCAAAUCAGCACGGCCCUUACGUCCAGGGCUACACACGUGCUACAAUGGCCGAUACAGAGGGCAGCUACCUGGUGACAGGAUGCAAAUCUCCAAAGUCGGUCUCAGUUCGGAUCGGAGUCUGCAACCCGACUCCGUGAAGUUGGAUUCGCUAGUAAUCGCGCAUCAGCCAUGGCGCGGUGAAUACGUUCCCGGGCCUU